GGUACAUGUAUGUACCUUUUUGAGGGUCAAAAAGGUACAUAUUUGUUCCCAAGCAUUAAAAAGUAUAUUUUUGUACCAUUUCUUUUAAAGGAUAAGGUACAAUGCUAAGAGAUAGCCUCUUGCCAUUUUUUUAUUUGUUGUUCUAGACAACUGCUGUAAAUCUGGUCAAUAAAGUAAGUAACCAUUGUGUCAAUUUUGUUUCCUUUAGUUGGGCACAUGGGUCUUGAAGUAGUGUUAGUUUUCUUCUGUUCAUUGACAAUGUGUUUAAUUUAAAUUUUUAAUUUUAAAUUUGAAUGAAAAAAAGUUAAUUUCAAUUCAUAAAAACUGUGCUGUGAACUCAAAAACUGAAAUUGAUUAACCAUUACUUACAAACUGAAUAAAUACUGAAUAACUAAAUCCCUCACACACAACGGAAAAAACGCGCUUUUAUUUUGACACGCGCCCAUCCCCCCACAUCUCACGGUCCGACUGGAGUCGAGUUUCACAGAGCAACGCAACAGGAGGACGACACGACAGUUAUAAAGAGCAUUAACAGUAAGGACUAACAUUAACUGACUGUCUGUCUGUUCUCAACCAAAGUCAUUCAAGACCUGUUAAAGUUAACCACAAACGUUUCCCGCGCAAGUUUGAAUCUCUCUCAGUCAGGGGAGAUUGACUGACUGUCUACACGCCACCAAACAGUAAUUUACACAGAAACCUUUUAAAG
This is a long non-coding RNA of Paramisgurnus dabryanus, 706 nucleotides long. RefSeq lists it as uncharacterized. NCBI's taxonomy places the organism in Eukaryota, Metazoa, Chordata, Actinopteri, Cypriniformes, Cobitidae. The record is from RefSeq and is a predicted model, not a curated record.